AUGGCGGAGGAACCGUCCGCCAAGCGUCUCCCUGGCGAGACGUCGAACAAGAGUAGCAACCUCGUCGACAUUCACGUCCCCGGCAAGAAGCGCGAGUACACCAGAACGCUCAAAGGGGUUGAGCUCCACGACAAGGAGACGCUGGAGAUCGUCUGCACUAGCGUACCACACAAGGCUAACGAGGUGAUGAGCAGGCUCAGGACGAAGGGCGGCGGCUUGUAUCCGAGCUUCAUCGGAGUUGAUGUGGAGUACACCAACGAAAAAUAA
Molecule: ribosomal RNA, 267 nt
Filed under: Triticum aestivum (bread wheat)
Lineage: Eukaryota; Viridiplantae; Streptophyta; Magnoliopsida; Poales; Poaceae
Description: partial small subunit ribosomal RNA
Source: RNAcentral